CAGUUAUCUUGUUUAAAAUUAUUACGUAACACACGAAACAGUAAAGGGCAUUCGACGUAUGGUAUAGAAUCAAGCGAAACGCGCUUCGUAUACACCUGUAUUCUUUAUCGAAUGCUGGAACUGAAUAAUCGUAAUCUCUGACACGACCACAGAUUGGGCUAAAGUUCAUGGUAUUAUCAGCAGUUCUCUACAUUUUAAUAACAUCUACAUUCUUCAUGUAUCGUAUGUGCAGGACCGUGAGAGAUCCAAGAAUUCUCUAGUAAAAUCGCCUCGGUCAGCCUGGUAUAACGGUGCAGAACUAAUAGCGUAAGUAUACUGUGAAAAUAUCGGCCUUCGGGACUAUCGAGAAACGAACUUUGACAGAAAUUAAGGAUCGGAAUAAAAAGAUGGAGAAGAAAGAAAAAAAAAAA
Long non-coding RNA from Athalia rosae (coleseed sawfly), 410 nucleotides. RefSeq lists it as uncharacterized. The record is from RefSeq and is a predicted model, not a curated record. NCBI's taxonomy places the organism in Eukaryota, Metazoa, Arthropoda, Insecta, Hymenoptera, Athaliidae. The transcript is spliced from 3 exons.